UGAAAACUAAAUGUUUAUUGAGCAGAAACAGUACUCAGAACAGCGUUAUCCUUUAAUCAAAAAAUAUCUCUGGAACAGUAGCAAGGUCAAUGGUCAGAGGUCAGCACCAACCCUUCAAAAAACAGAACAAAACAAACGUAAAGAGUAGAAAGCAACAGCCAGCAGGGUUCGCUCUGCUCUGAUCACAUCUCAGUCUAUUCACUGAUGUCUGGAGUCACCUGGUCCUCACCUAGAAAUCAGUCUGUUAACUGGUACCAGUCUGGAAGAGGAGGGGGGCUAUAGGGGUCUGUAGUAGAGGAGGGGGGUUAUAGGGGUCUGUAGUAGAGGGGGGGUCUGUAGUAGAGGAGGGGGGUUAUAGGGGUCUGUAGUAGAGGAGGGGGGGUAGAGGGGGGGGGUUAUAGGGGUCUGUAGUAGAGGAGGGGGGUUAUAGGGGUCUGUAGUAGAGGAGGGGGGUUAUAGGGGUCUGUAGUAGAGGAGGGGGGGUUAUAGGGUCUGUAGUAGAGGAGGGGGGUUAUAGGGGUCUGUAGUAGAGGAGGGGGGUUAUAGGGGUCUGUAGUAGAGGGGGGGUCUGUAGUAGAGGAGGGGGGGUUAUAGGGGUCUGUAGUAGAGGAGGGGGCUUAUAGGGGUCUGUAGUAGAGGAGGGGGGGUUAUAGGGGUCUGUAGUAGAGGAGGGGGGUUAUAGGGGUCUGUAGUAGAGGAGGGGGUCUGUAGUAGAGGAGGGGGGUUAUAGGGGUCUGUAGUAGAGGAGGGGGUUAUAGGGGUCUGUAGUAGAGGAGGGGGGGUUAUAGGGGUCUGUAGUAGAGGAGGGGGGGUUAUAGGGGUCUGUAGUAGAGGAGGGGGUUAUAGGGGUCUGUAGUAGAGGAGGGGGGUUAUAGGGGUCUGUAGUAGAGGAGGGGGGGUUAUAGGGGUCUGUAGUAGAGGAGGGGGUUAUAGGGGUCUGUAGUAGAGGAGGGGGGUUAUAGGGUCUGUAGUAGAGGAGGGGGGGUUAUAGGGGUCUGUAGUAGAGGAGGG
RNAcentral lists this long non-coding RNA (1011 nucleotides) under Salmo salar (Atlantic salmon). RNAcentral's name for it is "lncRNA (ENSSSAG00000085463.1, ENSSSAG00000101333.1)". Lineage: Eukaryota; Metazoa; Chordata; Actinopteri; Salmoniformes; Salmonidae. The record is from RNAcentral.